RNAcentral lists this transfer RNA (92 nucleotides) under Kitasatospora sp. MAP12-15. RNAcentral describes it as "tRNA-Gln". It matches the Rfam family "tRNA". From Rfam's summary of the family: Transfer RNA (tRNA) molecules are approximately 80 nucleotides in length. Their secondary structure includes four short double-helical elements and three loops (D, anti-codon, and T loops). Further hydrogen bonds mediate the characteristic L-shaped molecular structure. tRNAs have two regions of fundamental functional importance: the anti-codon, which is responsible for specific mRNA codon recognition, and the 3' end, to which the tRNAs corresponding amino acid is attached (by aminoacyl-tRNA synthetases). tRNAs cope with the degeneracy of the genetic code in two manners: having more than one tRNA (with a specific anti-codon) for a particular amino acid; and 'wobble' base-pairing, i.e. permitting non-standard base-pairing at the 3rd anti-codon position. RNAcentral also lists the same sequence under 3 other names. Lineage: Bacteria; Bacillati; Actinomycetota; Actinomycetes; Kitasatosporales; Streptomycetaceae. The record is from RNAcentral.
GGAGAGGUGCCCGGAGUGGUUGAUCGGGGGCCGGGGCUCUGGUCCCGGUCGGGUCCUUGAGGCCCACGCAGGUUCGAAUCCUGCCUUCUCCG